UGGGGAAUAUUGCACAAUGGGCGAAAGCCUGAUGCAGCAACGCCGCGUGAGUGAUGAAGGCCUUCGGGUUGUAAAGCUCUGUCUUUUGGGACGAUAAUGACGGUACCAAAGGAGGAAGCCACGGCUAACUACGUGCCAGCAGCCGCGGUAAUACGUAGGUGGCAAGCGUUGUCCGGAUUUACUGGGCGUAAAGGAUGCGUAGGCGGAUUUUUAAGCGAGAUGUGAAAUACCCGGGCUUAACUUGGGUGCUGCAUUUCAAACUGGGAAUCUAGAGUGCGGGAGAGGAGAAUGGAAUUCCUAGUGUAGCGGUGAAAUGCGUAGAGAUUAGGAAGAACACCAGUGGCGAAGGCGAUUCUCUGGACCGUAACUGACGCUGAGGCAUGAAAGCGUGGGUAGCAAACAGGAUUAGAUACCCUGGUAGUCCACGCCGUAAACGAUGAGUACUAGGUGUAGGAGGUAUCGACCCCUUCUGUGCCGCAGUUAACACAAUAAGUACUCCGCCUGGGAAGUACGAUCGCAAGAUUAAACUUAAAUGAAUUGACGGGGUCAUAGCUGUUUCCU
RNAcentral lists this ribosomal RNA (561 nucleotides) under uncultured bacterium. Its description in RNAcentral is "partial 16S ribosomal RNA". It matches the Rfam family "Bacterial small subunit ribosomal RNA", at positions 355 to 1375 of the family's 1533-position model. The record is from RNAcentral.